Molecule: ribosomal RNA, 1005 nt
Filed under: Lunasporangiospora chienii
Lineage: Eukaryota; Fungi; Mortierellomycota; Mortierellomycetes; Mortierellales; Mortierellaceae
Description: LSU rRNA
Rfam family: Eukaryotic large subunit ribosomal RNA
Source: RNAcentral
CCCUAGUAACGGCGAGUGAAGCGGGAUGAGCUCAAAUUUGAAAUCUGGCUGGUUUUACUGGUCCGAGUUGUAGUUUAUAGAGGUGUUUUCGGUGGCAGCCUGGGUAUAAAUCCUUUGGAAUAGGGUAUCAUGGAGGGUGAGAAUCCCGUCUUUGACCCAGGUUCAUGCUACUAUGUGAUACAUCUUCAAAGAGUCGAGUUGUUUGGGAAUGCAGCUCUAAAUGGGUGGUAAAUUUCAUCUAAAGCUAAAUACAGGCGAGAGACCGAUAGCGAACAAGUACCGUGAGGGAAAGAUGAAAAGAACUUUGAAAAGAGAGUUAAACAGUGCGUGAAAUUGUUGAAAGGGAAACGUUUGAAGCCAGCCGUGCGGGCGGAAAAUCAGCCUAGCUGUGGUGGGGAGCUAUUGGAGGUUCGGAGCGCAAGCCCGGCCUUUGGUGGCAUCUUUGUCACAAUGGGUGCACUUUUUCGUUUGCAGGCCAACAUCAGUUUGCUUCGCUGGAAAAGGCCUUGAGGGAAUGUGGCAGCUUUGGCUGUGUUAUAGCCCUGAGGAGAUACAGUGGAGUGGACUGAGGAGUCGCAGCGUGUGCUUUCGGGCAAGGUAGACUGGGUGCUGUGGGAUGGGGCGAGGUACAAUGCAUGCAUUUUGCUUCGUCUUUUCUGUCCUGCACUCGCUCAUCUCUACUCUUCCACGCUUAGGAUGUUGGCAUAAUGGAUUUAAACGACCCGUCUUGAAACACGGACCAAGGAGUCUAACAUAUAUGCGAGUGUUUGGGUGGCAAACCCAUGCGCGAAAUGAAAGUGAACGUAGGUGCGAUCCGCAAGGUGCAGCAUCGACCGAUCUUGAAUUUUUAGGAUAGAUUUGAGUAAGAGCAUAUAUGCUGGGACCCGAAAGAUGGUGAACUAUGCCUGAAUAGGGUGAAGCCAGAGGAAAACUCUGGUGGAGGCUCGUAGCGAUUCUGACGUGCAAAUCGAUCGUCAAAUUUGGGUAUAGGGGCGAAAGACUAAU